Molecule: ribosomal RNA, 253 nt
Filed under: uncultured bacterium
Lineage: Bacteria
Description: partial 16S ribosomal RNA
Rfam family: Bacterial small subunit ribosomal RNA
Source: RNAcentral
UACGUAGGGGGCAAGCGUUGUCCGGAUUUAUUGGGCGUAAAGAGCGUGUAGGCGGCCAUGUAGGUCCGUUGUGAAAACUCGAGGCUCAACCUCGAGACGCCGAUGGAAACCAUGUGGCUAGAGUCCGGAAGAGGAGAGUGGAAUUCCUGGUGUAGCGGUGAAAUGCGCAGAUAUCAGGAAGAACACCCGUGGCUAAGGCGGCUCUCUGGGACGGUACUGACGCUGAGACGCGAAAGCGUGGGGAGCAAACAGG